GAGUAACACGUGGAUGAUCUACCUUCUGGUGAGGAAUAACCCUGGGAAACCGGGGAUAAUACCGCAUAAGCUCGAGAGAGGAAAGCAGCAAUGCGCCGGAAGAGGAGUCCGCGGCCGAUUAGCUAGUUGGCAGGGUAAAAGCCUACCAAGGCGAAGAUCGGUAGCCGGCCUGAGAGGGCACACGGCCACACUGGCACUGAAACACGGGCCAGACUCCUACGGGGGGCAGCAGUGGGGAAUCUUGCACAAUGGGGGAAACCCUGAUGCAGCGACGCCGCGUGAGCGAUGAAGCCCUUCGGGGUGUAAAGCUCUUUCGGCAGGGAAGAUGAUGACGGUACCUGCAGAAGCAGCUGCGGCUAACUACGUGCCAGCAGCCGCGGUAAUACGUAGGCAGCAAGCGCUGUUCGGAGUUACUGGGCGUAAAGGGUGUGUAGGCGGUUGUUUAAGUUUGGUGUGAAAUCUCCCGGCUCAACUGGGAGGGUGCGCCGAAUACUGAAUGACUCGAGUGCGGGAGAGGAGAGUGGAAUUCCUGGUGUAGCGGUGAAAUGCGUAGAUAUCAGGAGGAACACCGGUGGUGUAGACGGCUCUCCGGACCGUAACUGACGCUGAGACACGAAAGCGUGGGUAGCAAACAGGAUUAGAUACCCUGGUAGUCCACGCCCUAAACGAUGCAUAUUUGGUGUGGGCCGUUCAGUCGGUCCGUGCCGGAGCUAACGCGUUAAAUAUGCCGCCUGGGGAGUACAGUCGCAAGGCUGAAACUCAAAGGAAUUGACGGGGGCCCGCACAAGCGGUGGAGCAUGUGGUUCAAUUC
RNAcentral lists this ribosomal RNA (811 nucleotides) under uncultured Acidobacteriota bacterium. RNAcentral describes it as "bacterial SSU rRNA". It matches the Rfam family "Bacterial small subunit ribosomal RNA", at positions 108 to 952 of the family's 1533-position model. Lineage: Bacteria; Pseudomonadati; Acidobacteriota. The record is from RNAcentral.